RNAcentral lists this ribosomal RNA (353 nucleotides) under uncultured Coriobacteriales bacterium. Its description in RNAcentral is "bacterial SSU rRNA". It matches the Rfam family "Bacterial small subunit ribosomal RNA", at positions 1 to 339 of the family's 1533-position model. The record is from RNAcentral. Lineage: Bacteria; Bacillati; Actinomycetota; Coriobacteriia; Coriobacteriales.
AGUAGUUUGAUCCGUGGCUCGAGGACGAACGCUGGCGGCGUGCUUAACACAUGCAAGUCGAGCGGAGACAUAUACCGGAGAGCUUCGGCAGGAAGGGAUAUGUUUUAGCGGCGGACGGGUGAGUAACGCGUGAGCAACCUGUCCUUCACAGGGGGAUAAGAUACCGAAAGGUGUUCUAAUACCGCAUGAGACCACAGAGGCGAGUGCUUCAGGGGUCAAAGGAGAAAUCCGGUGAAGGGUGGGCUCGCGUCCGAUUAGAUAGUUGGUGAGGUAACGGCCCACCAAGUCGACGAUCGGUAGCCGACCUGAGAGGGUGAUCGGCCACAUUGGGACUGAGACACGGCCCAGACUCC